CAAGUCGAACGAAUCCCACCUGGGUAACUGGGUGGGGGAAGUGGCGAAAGGGGCAGUAAGGCGUAGGUAACCUACCCCGGGGACGGGGAUAGCCAUUCUAACGAGUGGGUAAUACCCGGCGAUCUGGCGGACAGACAUCUGCCUGCCAGGAAAGGAAUUUCGCCUCGGGAGGGGCUUACGUGGUAUUAGCUAGUUGGUAGGGUAACGGCCUACCAAGGCCAAGAUGCCUAGCAGGUGUGAGAGCACGACCUGCGCCACUGGCACUGCGACACUGGCCAGACUCCUACGGGAGGCUGCAGUCGAGGAUCUUCGGCAAUGGGCGCAAGCCUGACCGAGCGACGCCGCGUGUGCGAUGAAGGCCUUCGGGUUGUAAAGCACUGUCGAGGGGGAGGAAAGCCCGUAAGGGUUUGACCUAUCCCUGGAGGAAGCACGGGCUAAGUUCGUGCCAGCAGCCGCGGUAAGACGAACCGUGCAAACGUUGUUCGGAAUCACUGGGCGUAAAGGGCGCGUAGGCGGGUGGUCAAGUCAGGGGUGAAAUCUUUCAGCUCAACUGGAAAACAGCUUUUGAUACUGGCCAUCUUGAGGGGGGUAGGGGCAUGUGGAACUUCCGGUGGAGCGAUGAAAUGCGUAGAUAUCGGAAGGAACGCCGGUGGCGAAAGCGACGUGCUGGACCCUUUCUGACGCUGAGGCGCGAAAGCCAGGGGAGCAAACGGGGAUUAGAUACCCCGGUAGUCCUGGCCCUAAACGAUGGGUACUAGAUUGUGGACUGAACAUGGGGUUCACAGUCCAAGCCAAAAUU
RNAcentral lists this ribosomal RNA (799 nucleotides) under uncultured Planctomycetota bacterium. Its description in RNAcentral is "bacterial SSU rRNA". It matches the Rfam family "Bacterial small subunit ribosomal RNA", at positions 58 to 859 of the family's 1533-position model. The record is from RNAcentral. Lineage: Bacteria; Pseudomonadati; Planctomycetota.